GCCCAGACUCCUACGGGAGGCAGCAGUGGGGAAUAUUGCACAAUGGGGGGAACCCUGAUGUAGCGACGCCGCGUGGGCGAGGAAGUAUUUCGGUAUGUAAAGCCCUAUCGGCAGGGAAGAAGAAAUGACGGUACCUGAAUAAGAAGCACCGGCUAAAUACGUGCCAACAGCCGCGGUAAUACGUAUGGUGCAAGCGUUAUCCGGAUUCACUGGGUGUAAAGGGAGCGUAGACGGCCAUGCAAGCCAGGGGUGAAAGCCCGGGGCCCAACCCCGGGACUGCCCUUGGAACUGCAUGGCUGGAGUGCGGGAGGGGCAGGCGGAAUUCCUGGUGUAGCGGUGAAAUGCGUAGAUAUCAGGAGGAACACCGGCGGCGAAGGCGGCCUGCUGGAUCGCGACUGACGUUGAGGCUCGAAAGCGUGGGGAGCGAACAGGAUUAGAUACCCGAGUAA
This 449-nucleotide ribosomal RNA is filed under the name uncultured bacterium. Its description in RNAcentral is "partial 16S ribosomal RNA". It matches the Rfam family "Bacterial small subunit ribosomal RNA", at positions 329 to 793 of the family's 1533-position model. The record is from RNAcentral.